RNAcentral lists this ribosomal RNA (468 nucleotides) under uncultured bacterium. Its description in RNAcentral is "partial 16S ribosomal RNA". It matches the Rfam family "Bacterial small subunit ribosomal RNA", at positions 28 to 507 of the family's 1533-position model. The record is from RNAcentral.
GACGAACGCUGGCGGCGUGCUUAACACAUGCAAGUCGAACGGAAAGGCCAUGAUUUUGUGGGGUGCUCGAGUGGCGCAGGGGUGAGUAACACGUGAGUAACCUGCCCUUGACUUUGGGAUAACUUCAGGAAACUGGGGCUAAUACCGGAUAGGAGCUACUGAUGCAUGGUGGGGGUUGGUAAGUUUCGGCGGUUGGGGCUGGACUCGCGGCUUAUCCGCUUGUUGGUGGGGUAGUGGCUUACCAAGGCUUUGACGGGUAGCCGGCCUGAGAGGGUGACCGGCCACAUGGGGACUGAGAUACGGCCCAGACUCCUACGGGAGGCAACAGUGGGGAAUAUUGCGCAAUGGGCGGAAGCCUGAUGCAGCAACGCCGCGUUCGGGAUGACGGCCUUCGGGUUGUAAACCGCUUUCGCCUGUGACGAAGCGUGAGUGACGGUAAUGGGUAAAGAAGCACCGGCUAACUACGUG